AAAGCUGAAAUGCACCUAUUUGGCAGGGACCUCUCUCACGCUGGCCAGGGAACCAUCAUACUGUCAUCACAGCUGGAUAUGACAGGUUCCAGGAGUUUAGAAAUUGUUCUUGACAUGGUGGGAAGCAUUUUCAUGUCCUCGCACCAGGAAUACGUCAUUUCCUAUCUCCUUCCCAGCCCUGGUGUGGCAAGAGCAGAGUUAGAGUGA
RNAcentral lists this long non-coding RNA (207 nucleotides) under Canis lupus dingo (dingo). Its description in RNAcentral is "lncRNA (ENSCAFG00020013056.1)". The record is from RNAcentral. Lineage: Eukaryota; Metazoa; Chordata; Mammalia; Carnivora; Canidae.